RNAcentral lists this ribosomal RNA (506 nucleotides) under uncultured bacterium. RNAcentral describes it as "partial 16S ribosomal RNA". It matches the Rfam family "Bacterial small subunit ribosomal RNA", at positions 29 to 523 of the family's 1533-position model. The record is from RNAcentral.
AGUGAACGCUGGCGGUAGGCCUAACACAUGCAAGUCGAACGGCAGCACAGAGGAGCUUGCUCCUUGGGUGGCGAGUGGCGGACGGGUGAGGAAUACAUCGGAAUCUACUCUGUCGUGGGGGAUAACGUAGGGAAACUUACGCUAAUACCGCAUACGACCUACGGGUGAAAGCAGGGGAUCUUCGGACCUUGCGCGAUUGAAUGAGCCGAUGUCGGAUUAGCUAGUUGGGGGGGUAAAGGCCCACCAAGGCGACGAUCCGUAGCUGGUCUGAGAGGAUGAUCAGCCACACUGGAACUGAGACACGGUCCAGACUCCUACGGGAGGCAGCAGUGGGGAAUAUUGGACAAUGGGCGCAAGCCUGAUCCAGCCAUACCGCGUGGGUGAAGAAGGCCUUCGGGUUGUAAAGCCCUUUUGUUGGGAAAGAAAUCCAUCUGGUUAAUACCCGGGUGGGAUGACGGUACCCAAAGAAUAAGCACCGGCUAACUACGUGCCAGCAGCCGCCGUAA